Molecule: unclassified non-coding RNA, 395 nt
Filed under: soil metagenome
Description: partial contains 5.8S ribosomal RNA, internal transcribed spacer 2, and large subunit ribosomal RNA
Rfam family: 5.8S ribosomal RNA (bases 1-120)
Source: RNAcentral
GAUGAAGAACGUAGCGAAAUGCGAUAAGUAAUGUGAAUUGCAGAAUUCCGCGAAUCAUCGAAUCUUUGAACGCACCUUGCGCCUUUUGGUAUUCCGAAAGGCACACCUGUUUGAGCGUCAUGAAUACCUCAAUCUCCAUCUUUUCUUCGGAUUGAUGGGUGACUUGGAUGUUGAGCCCUGCUGGUAUGCUAUAUCAGCUGGCUUUAAACUUAUUAGCCGGCUCUGUACUGGAUCGGUUUGACUCGACGUGAUAAUAUUAUCGUUGAGGAUGCAUGUCUCAUGCAGCCGGAAAGUAUCAAAGCAGCUUCUAGCUUGCCUUUAGUGCACUUUUACAUUUUAGACCUCAGAUCAGGUGGGACUACCCGCUGAACUUAAGCAUAUCAAUAAGCGGAGGA